UGACGGAAAGACCCCAAGAGCAUAGGCGUUGGCCAGUAUCAGCUUCGGAAAGACCCCAAGAGCUUUUUUUGUGUUAGAUUUGUUUGGGGUAAAUGUAGAUUAUUCAUUUAUUUUUAGAUCCUUCGUGGAUAAAGGAUAAAGUUACCUUGGGGAUAACUGAGUAAAGGGCAGGGAGAGGUCCUAUUGAUCUGUUUAUUACUACCUCGAUGUUGGCUUGUUGAACCUUUUCGGUGACGUACCGCGAAGCCGAAGGGGCUUGUUGAACCUAUUCGGUGA
This 276-nucleotide ribosomal RNA is filed under the name Schistosoma mansoni. RNAcentral describes it as "partial large subunit ribosomal RNA". The record is from RNAcentral. Lineage: Eukaryota; Metazoa; Platyhelminthes; Trematoda; Strigeidida; Schistosomatidae.